This is a long non-coding RNA of Mangifera indica (mango), 381 nucleotides long. RefSeq lists it as uncharacterized. The transcript has 2 exons. NCBI's taxonomy places the organism in Eukaryota, Viridiplantae, Streptophyta, Magnoliopsida, Sapindales, Anacardiaceae. The record is from RefSeq and is a predicted model, not a curated record.
AAAAUGAAAUAAAAAGAGGUGGUGAGAAAGAAGAAAUCAAAGAAGAAGAAGCAAAAGCUUCAAGAGUGGCUCUGCAUUCGAGGCAACAAAAAGGGACAAAAGAGCCCCUGCAAUCAAAAUGAUGCUCCCAAACAAACCUCCGACAAUCAUACAUACCAACGAAACUGUGGAAAAAGAUCCAGAGAUGAAACAAACAACCUCAAGGAGUUCAGAGUUGUUCAUCACAGCCUUUAACGAGAAACUGAUUAUUGUCAGAAGAAAUAUGUAAAAAUUCACUGGAUUUGUUUCCAAUGGAGAUGUAGUUUUUCCUUGGAAACACACUUGCACAGCAGAAAGAAGCGUCGGAAUUAGAAAUGUGAAGGCACCAUUGUAUUGCGUUAA